AUUGCCUCAGUAACGGCGAGUGAAGCGGCAAAAGCUCAAAUUUGAAAUCUGGCGCCCGCCCGAAUUGUAAUUUGAAGAAGCGACUUUGGACCUGGCUCUUGUCUAAGUUCCUUGGAACAGGACGUCAUAGAGGGUGAGAAUCCCGUUAGAUGAGAUGCCCAGGGCCGUGUAAAGCGUUUUCGACGAGUCGAGUUGUUUGGGAAUGCAGCUCUAAGUGGGUGGUAAAUUCCAUCUAAAGCUAAAUAUUGGCGAGAGACCGAUAGCGAACAAGUACAGUGAUGGAAAGAUGAAAAGAACUUUGAAAAGAGAGUGAAAAAGUACGUGAAAUUGUUGAAAGGGAAGGGCUUGUGAUCAGACUUUGCAUUUCUAUGGCUUCCUUUCGGGGGGGUCCUCUGGAGUUGUAGGGCCAGCAUGGGUUGGAGGGGUGAGAUAAUGGGGAAGGAAUGUGGCUCUG
Molecule: ribosomal RNA, 454 nt
Filed under: Suhomyces sp. DG-2024a
Lineage: Eukaryota; Fungi; Ascomycota; Pichiomycetes; Serinales; Debaryomycetaceae
Description: partial 26S ribosomal RNA
Rfam family: Eukaryotic large subunit ribosomal RNA
Source: RNAcentral